GACAUUUGGUGGAGAAUGUUGAAGCCACCUGGUCCCAGAAGACCCCAGAAAAUGGCCACAUUCGCUGGUGCUGGAAAAAGGUCCUUAAGGGUGAAGCCUGGUGCCAGAUGUGU
This 113-nucleotide ribosomal RNA is filed under the name Panthera pardus (leopard). The record is from RNAcentral. Lineage: Eukaryota; Metazoa; Chordata; Mammalia; Carnivora; Felidae.